UAAAAUAAAGGGGACAGAGGUGGAUGUCACUCCUGCCAGGGAGGUAAGCUUUCUCUCCUUAGUGGCUUAAGGUCCGUAGGUCACUCACUCAGCCUUAGCCAAGGGGUGGGGUGCGGGGAGGGGGUUGUUACAGCUCCUGAAACCAAGCAGGGCAGCUC
Molecule: long non-coding RNA, 158 nt
Organism: Phyllostomus discolor (pale spear-nosed bat)
Lineage: Eukaryota; Metazoa; Chordata; Mammalia; Chiroptera; Phyllostomidae
Exons: 4
Source: RefSeq, a predicted model, not a curated record